This 774-nucleotide ribosomal RNA is filed under the name uncultured Neocallimastigales. Its description in RNAcentral is "partial large subunit ribosomal RNA". It matches the Rfam family "Eukaryotic large subunit ribosomal RNA", at positions 24 to 644 of the family's 3401-position model. The record is from RNAcentral. Lineage: Eukaryota; Fungi; Neocallimastigomycota; Neocallimastigomycetes; Neocallimastigales.
UAUGUGAUCGUCUCUCGCAUAUCAAUAAGCGGAGGAAAAGAAACUAACAAGGAUUCCCCUAGUAACGGCGAGUGAAGCGGGAAGAGCUCAAAUUUGAAAUCUUAAAGGGUUUCCCUUUACGAAUUGUAGUUUAAAGAAGUGUUUUCUGUUGAGGUUUUGGUAAAAGUUCUUUGGAAUAGGACAUCAUAGAGGGUGAGAAUCCCGUAUUUGACCUUUACUUUCAACUUUGUGAUACACUUUCAAAGAGUCGGAUUGUUUGGGAAUGCAGUCCAAAAUGGGUGGUAAAUUUCGUCUAAAGCUAAAUAUUGGCGAGAGACCGAUAGCGAACAAGUACCGUGAGGGAAAGAUGAAAAGAACUUUGAAAAGAGAGUUAAACAGUACGUGAAAUUGUCAAAAGGGAAGCGUUUGACACCAGUGUUGUUUUUCUGAAAAUCAAUUAAAGAACUGUUUAUGCUAAGUUGUUUAGACUUUAUCAGCUAACUGUUUAGUUUUGAGCUUUUCUUUAAUGCACUUUUCAGUUAACAAGUCAACAUCAAUUUCUUUUGCUGUAAAAAAGCUUGAGGAAGGUGGCUUGAGAUUCGUCUUAAGUGUUUAUAGCCUCUUGCCUAUGCAGUCGGAGAGAUUGAGGUCUGCAGCGUAGAUCCUUCGGGGCUAAAUGCAUUUGUGCUAAGUUAUAGCAUUUUAUAGACAACUUGUUGACUAUGAUUUGUCUUGUAGCUUACUCGCUUAUGUUAUUUUACCUACGCUUAGGAUGUUGAAGAUAUGCGCGACACG